CAAUAGCGUAUAUUAAAGUUGUUGCGUAAAAGACUCGUAGUUGGAUUUCUUGUUGAGGGCGACCGGUACGCACUUUCGUGCGUUAUCUGGCUCGGUCUUGGCAUCCUCUUGGGGAACGACUCCAUGCUUAAUUGCACGGAUCGGGAUUCAAGACUUUUAACUUUGAGGAAAUUAGUAGUGUUACACGGCAAGCAAGUGCUUUGAAUACAUUAGCAUGGAAUAAUAAUAUAGGACCUUUGUUCUAUUUUGUUGGUUUCUAGAACUAAGGUAAUGAUUAAUAAGGGACAAUUGGGGCAUUCGUAUUAACGCGUCAGAGGUGGAAUUCUUGGAUUGCGUUACGACGAACUACUGCGAAAGCAUUUGCCUAAGGAUGUUUUCAUUUGAUCAAGAACGAAAGUUAGGGAUCGAAGACGAUCAGAUACCAU
This 425-nucleotide ribosomal RNA is filed under the name uncultured eukaryote. Its description in RNAcentral is "SSU rRNA". It matches the Rfam family "Eukaryotic small subunit ribosomal RNA", at positions 592 to 1018 of the family's 1831-position model. The record is from RNAcentral.